CAAUAGCGUAUAUUUAAGUUGUUGCAGUUAAAAAGCUCGUAGUUGGAGUUCGGUUGAGAACGGCCGGUCCGCCGUUUGGUGUGCACUGGCUGGUUUCAACUUCCUGUAGAGGACGUGCUCUGGCUUCACGGCUGGACGCGGAGUCUACGUGGUUACUUUGAAAAAAUUAGAGUGUUCAAAGCGGGCUUACGCUUGAAUAUUUCAGCAUGGAAUAACACUAUAGGACUCCUGUCCUAUUUCGUUGGUCUCGGGACGGGAGUAAUGAUUAAGAGGAACAGUUGGGGGCAUUCGUAUUUCAUUGUCAGAGGUGAAAUUCUUGGAUUUAUGAAAGACGAACUUCUGCGAAAGCAUUUGCCAAGGAUGUUUUCAUUA
RNAcentral lists this ribosomal RNA (372 nucleotides) under uncultured eukaryote. RNAcentral describes it as "partial 18S ribosomal RNA". It matches the Rfam family "Eukaryotic small subunit ribosomal RNA", at positions 592 to 975 of the family's 1831-position model. The record is from RNAcentral.